AUCCUACUCCCUCCGUCCGAAAAUACUUGUCGGAGAAAUGCAUAAAAAUGGAUGUAUCUAGAACUAAAAUACGUCUAGAUGCAUGCAUUCCUCCGACAAGUAUUUUCAGACAGAGGGAGUAUUAU
Triticum aestivum (bread wheat) is the source of this 125-nucleotide non-coding RNA. The record is from Rfam. NCBI's taxonomy places the organism in Eukaryota, Viridiplantae, Streptophyta, Magnoliopsida, Poales, Poaceae.